GUCUAUUUGAGUAGUGCAAUGAAGUCGACUUAACAAGAAAAAAGAAAGAAAAAAAAAAUAAAUAAAAUUAUUUGUGACACAAAAAAACAUUCAAAAAAUAUCAAAAUAAUUGAAAUAAACUGCUUGUAGUCAUGGUACACAUGACCGUUUGGUUCAAAAAGGAACCGUAGAACAUUGCACUAGUUUUCGUUAGCAGAGCGAGAGAGAGUGAAAAAAAAAGUGAAUCGCAUCGCGUCAAGUAGUCUUCGUUGCACGUCAAUCACUUUGUAGCUUCAUGAUCUCACACUUUGAACGCGUAAUUAUGGGAUGCGCUUCAACCCUAAACAAGCAGAUGACCACAAAUGGCAAUAAUCAGCUCCCCUCUGGCGACAUGUCCGCCCUUUCCGAUGGCGCAUCAUCGGAAAUUUUGUGCAACGGCAGGGGGGAGUGCGACAACGGAACCUGCAUUUGCGAAAUUCGGUACAGCGGCGACGAGUGCAGGGCCUUUAAUUUGCCCUAUCACGCGGGCGUUUCGUCCGUUUUUUAUUGCGUCGCGCUCUUCUCCCUCAUACAACUGCUGAUUUGUAUUGUGGCAGAGUACCAGCGCCUCAAGCGACCCUCCAUCGUGCGAGCAUGCAGACUUACAGCACAAAAACUCUUGUAUUUUAUUGUCUUCUUGGCGGCAUUGCUGAGGGGCGCCUAUUUUACGACACCUGAGACUUUACAACCAAGUUGGACGGCUUAUUUUAUGUCAGCCUACUACCCAUUACUCAUGACUUGUGCAUCGCUCGUCGUUUGUCUAUGGGCUGAGGUAAGUUUCAACCAUUUUCUUUCAAUUUUUUACCUUUAAAGGCAUCAUAAAUGGAAAUUUUCGCGAUUUUCUCAACCCAAAAGCUCAUAAAACGAAAGAACAAAAGGAAUAAAAAAAAAACAAAAACAUUUUUUAGCGGUCAAAAAAUCGAUUUUGAUUGACCUUGUGCGAAAAAGUGAAAAUAAAAUAGCCACUAAUGUUCAUUUUCCCCUUAAAAUUCAUCAAAACAUAAUUUUGAACAUUUUUACCGACCUCAGACAAUAUUUGAGUGACUUCAAAAAGUGUCAAAAACCUUGUCCUUCAAUAAAACCUACGACUUAUCUUAUCAAUUUACCAGAAAUUGGCCACAACUCUAUCGCCAAACUAUUUCGACACAGACAAAACAAUUGAAAAUAAUCAAAUUCAUAGACACAUCGUUGUUUCACUCAUAAAAAGUAACUAUUUUCAUAACAACUACCUGCUUCCGUUGACAGUUUUUAUGACUUCAUCGUGCUUCGCGGAGGUAUUUCCAUUCCAAAAAAUUUCAAAUUUAACAAAAUUUG
Long non-coding RNA from Culicoides brevitarsis, 1332 nucleotides. RefSeq lists it as uncharacterized. The record is from RefSeq and is a predicted model, not a curated record. The transcript has 3 exons. Lineage: Eukaryota; Metazoa; Arthropoda; Insecta; Diptera; Ceratopogonidae.